AUACGGAGGGUGCAAGCGUUACUCGGAAUCACUGGGCGUAAAGCGCGCGUAGGUGGUUAGACAAGUCAGAUGUGAAAGCCCCGGGCUCAACCUGGGAACUGCAUUUGAAACUGUUUGGCUAGAGUAUGGUAGAGGUGAGUGGAAUUUCAGGUGUAGCGGUGAAAUGCGUAGAGAUCUGAAGGAACAUCAGUGGCGAAGGCGACUCACUGGGCCAUUACUGACACUGAGGUGCGAAAGCGUGGGUAGCAAACAGGAUUAGAAACCCUGGUAGUCC
RNAcentral lists this ribosomal RNA (274 nucleotides) under uncultured bacterium. RNAcentral describes it as "partial 16S ribosomal RNA". It matches the Rfam family "Bacterial small subunit ribosomal RNA", at positions 523 to 796 of the family's 1533-position model. The record is from RNAcentral.